RNAcentral lists this ribosomal RNA (310 nucleotides) under uncultured bacterium. Its description in RNAcentral is "bacterial SSU rRNA". It matches the Rfam family "Bacterial small subunit ribosomal RNA", at positions 28 to 339 of the family's 1533-position model. The record is from RNAcentral.
GACGAACGCUGGCGGCGUGCUUAACACAUGCAAGUCGAGCGGUAAGGCCCUUUCGGGGGUACACGAGCGGCGAACGGGUGAGUAACACGUGGGUGACCUGCCCUCAGCUCUGGGAUAAGCCUGGGAAACCGGGUCGUAAUACUGGAUAUGACUCCAUGACGCAUGUUGUGGGGUGGAAAGCCUUGUGCGGCUGAGGAUGGGCCCGCGGCCUAUCAGCUUGUUGGUGGGGUGAUGGCCUACCAAGGCGACGACGGGUAGCCGGCCUGAGAGGCGACCGGCCACACUGGGACUGAGACACGGCCCAGACUCC